RNAcentral lists this microRNA precursor (82 nucleotides) under Petromyzon marinus (sea lamprey). Its description in RNAcentral is "microRNA pma-mir-4622 precursor". The record is from miRBase by way of RNAcentral. Lineage: Eukaryota; Metazoa; Chordata; Hyperoartia; Petromyzontiformes; Petromyzontidae.
CCGAUCAUUUUUUAGGGGUGGGCUCCGUGUCUGAGAGUUCUAAAUUGCUCUCGGACACGGAGGCUCCCGAAAUGAUGAUGCA